UCUUUUCUUCUUCUUCUUCUUUAAGUGGUAUUCACUAAUUCCUUCCUUAAAUCUAAAUGUAUCUCUUUGUUGAUAAUCUAGAAGCUAUGGUUCUUUAAUGAUGAGUAGUUAUUCCAUCUUAGGGUAAGUAUUUCAGCUCUGCAUGCUAAAUUCUAAAUGAGUAAGUCUGCAUGUGGUAUUUGAACAGUAAGUUGUAAGCGCAUGGUGAUCUGAGAUAAAUUCUGAAAUAAUUAUGAAUGAGAUAAAGUACUGUUAUAAUCAAGGUUAAAAGUUGAGUAUGAUCUUUAAAUUAAUGGAAUAAUUUAUUGAAAAGAGUUGUGUAUUUGUGUGCUAAUAAAGAUA
RNAcentral lists this long non-coding RNA (342 nucleotides) under Gossypium barbadense (sea-island cotton). RNAcentral's name for it is "long non-coding RNA (GBAR_LNC007233)". Lineage: Eukaryota; Viridiplantae; Streptophyta; Magnoliopsida; Malvales; Malvaceae. The record is from RNAcentral.